Non-coding RNA from Misgurnus anguillicaudatus (oriental weatherfish), 3173 nucleotides. NCBI's taxonomy places the organism in Eukaryota, Metazoa, Chordata, Actinopteri, Cypriniformes, Cobitidae. The record is from RefSeq and is a predicted model, not a curated record.
UCGUCUCGCGUUCGGUCUUUUCUGAACAAAUGUCAUUUUAACAUUUAAUAUCUGAAUCCAAAAGAUAUAAACAGUGUCGUUCGUAAUUACAAAUCAAAUUGAUGUAAUUAUAGAAUUUGGAUAAACGUUUGAUCAUUCUAUCAACUCAUUCAUUCGUACACAAAUUCUUCCCUGUUAUAGCAGAGGAUAACAAAUAUUAGCAUGUAAUGGUAAUCUUCCCUGCCUAAACAGAGGAUGAUACUUUAUAGUAACUUAAGAGUUAAUAAUACAGAGCAAAUUAGAAUGAAUACAAACGUAACAACUUAUUUACCAGGUAGGUAAAACAUAAUUCAGAUGCCAAUUUACAUUGCAAUUCAAAUACGAAACUGUCAGGAUUUACUAAAGCACUGAAAAGGUGUAGUCUAGUUAUUUUUGUGACUGAUCUUGCAUUUCUAGUUAAAAAGAGGCAUCACAGAGAUCAGGGAAUGCGUGAGGAUACAAUGCAGAGGAUUGUUUUAACACAUAACAUAACUGGAACAUAUUGUUUGUCAAGCCAUGUUAUUUUUUAUUUGCUGAAGUCAUUCAAAAAGGAGUCACUAGGAGAAGUCACACAAUAGCAUGUGUUUCAAAACUUCUUGUAAACCUUCACAUUUUUUUGUCAUCCAAAUGUUUUCAGUGUCUUUUGUUAGCUGGGUUUACACCCCCCAAUUUUCCGCUGCGAUGUCUGUGGUGCUGAACUCAAGAUCAGCUCUGCUUAUUUGUGACCCUGAACUAAUUGUGAACUAUUUGUGAACUAAUCUGUGCUGCUUUUAGUGUUGGUCAUUAUGGAAAUCAGCUGUUGUGCUUGUGUUAUUUAAUUUGAGCUUUUUUAGUAAAUAAACCUCAACUAUUAGCACUCUCAUCUGCGCUUUUUUGGACUUGCGCUUUCAGGCUAAUUUGCCCCAUUUAGUAAAUCUGAGCCAAAGUGUCAGUUCUGUUCAUCUAAUCACAUUUCUGCUCUGAUCACACAGAUGUUUCUCUAUUUCUGUCUUUUUUCUCUUUCCUUGUUUCAUUUCUUCAUUCUUGGGUGAACUGCUGCCAAAUGACAUGAGAGCCUUUUAGACAGACAUGUGGUGCAGUGUCAGACUUCUCUCUUCAUUACUGCGUGUGAGAAUUAACAUCCGUCACUCACCACUGACAACACAAAGUAACACAAAAAGUGUUAAGCACUUUCAGUGAUUAUUGUGGUUCUGCUGUAAUGUGAUCAAUCUGCAAGUCGGACUUCAAAAGAACAGGUUCACAGGAGGGUCAAAGUUCUUUUACAGCAGCAGGAACCUUUACUGUGUAAAGAAUCAUGAGUGAAGACAGAGAAACACAACAGACCUGUCAUGAGCUGUCCUCUAAACCGUCUGGCCUCUUUGUUAAACUCCAGAGGUGCCCAAAACCAAGCAGCUUUACUGCGUCUGUCAUUACCAGAGUUGUGUUGGGUGCGCUGUUAUUGGGUUUGGUUUGGGCUGUGACGGGUCCUGCCUGUGCACCAGGUCAGAAUCUCUUUGGGUUGGUGGUUCUGUUUCUUUCUGCUGUGUGUGGAGGAAAACUCAUCAGCGUCUUCACCUUCCCUAACACACCUCCAGUACCUGCGCUCCUGGGAAUGCUGCUGGCAGGUGUGGUGUUGAGGAAUGUGCCCUAUGUCACAGACAGUGUGUAUAUAGAUCAGAAUUGGUCUUCGGCUCUUAGAAAUGUUGCUUUAGCUGUGAUUCUGACCAGAGCUGGGUUAGGAAUCAAUGGUUCUGCCUUGCAUCAUUUAAAAGCAGUCUGUGUGAGGGUUGCUGUUGGUCCGUGUGUUGUCGAGGCUUGUACGGUGGCUGUUGUGGGUCAUUUUCUGCUGGAAUUACCCUGGAUAUGGAGCUUCCUUCUUGGCUUCGUUCUAGCUGCCGUUUCCCCAGCUGUAGUUGUUCCAUCCAUGUUACUUCUGCAGACGCAAGGUUACGGCGUUCAGAAAGGAAUCCCAACCCUUCUGAUGGCUGCUGGGAGCUUUGAUGAUAUUCUGGCCAUCACUGGAUUUACCACCUGCCUGGGCAUCGCCUUCGGAACAGGGUCAACGUGGAUGAACAUUGGUAAAGGAGUUCUGGAGGUUGUGGGAGGGAUUCUGGCAGGAGGAAUUCUGGGAAUUCUGCUCUAUUUCAUCCCCAGCACAAACCAGGCAGAUGUGGUGUUGUUGCGCUCGUGUCUGUUGAUGGGUCUGUCUGUGUUCAGUGUGUUCGCGGGGCACGCGGUGGGUUUGGCCGGUGCUGGUGGUCUCUGUACUCUUGUCCUGGCGUUUAUCUCUGGACUCGGUUGGGCAGAACAGAAGGCUCCAGUGGCUGCAGUGGUGAGCAGGUUCUGGGAUGUCUGUCAGCCGCUCUUAUUUGGCCUGAUUGGAGCAGAAAUCAACAUCUCAUCCCUCAGUGUUUAUACUGUUGGGUUAGGUGUUGCCACUCUGAGUGUUGGGUUGCUGGUUCGAAUGUCAAUGACAUUUGUUGUUGUUUUGUUUGCUGGUUUCAAUAUUAAGGAGAAGAUCUUUAUAUCUCUGGCUUGGAUGCCUAAAGCUACAGUGCAAGAUCCAUGGCUCUGGACACGGCCCACAGCACUGGAGAUGAGCAGCUGCAGUAUUAUGGGAUGGAGGUUCUCACUGUGGCUGUUCUUGCCAUUCUGAUCACUGCACCAAUGGGUGCGCUUAUAAUCGGCUUCACGGGGCCUAAAUUACUGCAGAAAUACACAACUACACACCAGCACAUAAACACACAAGAUCAGCGUGUGAAAACUUGUGACUUGGGCAGCCUGGAGUCCAAACUCUGAAGCGCAAUAAUCUUUACUUAUAAACUCAACUCUCAUUCCUGCAGCAGUUUUGAGAAAUCACAUCAUCGAUCUCAAAUCCCUUCAGAAAUGAUUUCAAGCUCUUUGUUCAUAGUUUUCUAGUCUUUAUGUAAUAAAAUCCAUCACAUCAUACAGCAUGCUUCAGUUUUUUAAUCUCUCAUCUUGAGGAUUUAUUUGUAUGCUGUCAUUUAUUUUUGAUUUAAUGAAAUUGGUCCAAAUGAUUCAGAAUGCAGCAGCUUGGCUUGUUUUAUUAAUACAGCAUAAUAAUAAAGUAUAUUUUAUAAAGCAACUUUAAAAGGUCUCAAAGUGCUUUACAAGAAUAAAAUAAUGAAGUAAUAUAAUAAAGAUAAUGAUAAUAU